GCCUGGGUGGCUCAGUUGGUUGAGCGUCUGACUUCGGCUCAGGUCAUGGUCUCAUGUCUUGUGGGUUCAAGCCCCAACUUGGGCU
RNAcentral lists this transfer RNA (85 nucleotides) under Felis catus (domestic cat). It matches the Rfam family "tRNA". Rfam says of the family: Transfer RNA (tRNA) molecules are approximately 80 nucleotides in length. Their secondary structure includes four short double-helical elements and three loops (D, anti-codon, and T loops). Lineage: Eukaryota; Metazoa; Chordata; Mammalia; Carnivora; Felidae. The record is from Rfam by way of RNAcentral.